Molecule: ribosomal RNA, 433 nt
Filed under: uncultured bacterium
Lineage: Bacteria
Description: partial 16S ribosomal RNA
Rfam family: Bacterial small subunit ribosomal RNA
Source: RNAcentral
AACGAACGCUGGCGGCAUGCCUAACACAUGCAAGUCGAACGAGACCUUCGGGUCUAGUGGCGCACGGGUACGUAACGCGUGGGAACCUGCCCUUAGGUUCGGAAUAACUCCCCGAAAGGGGUGCUAAUACCGGAUAAUGUCUUCGGACCAAAGAUUUAUCGCCUUUGGAUGGGCCCGCGUUGGAUUAGCUAGUUGGUAGGGUAAAAGCCUACCAAGGCGACGAUCCAUAGCUGGUCUGAGAGGAUGCUCAGCCACACUGGGACUGAGACACGGCCCAGAAUCCUACGGGAGGCAGCAGUGGGGAAUAUUGGACAAUGGGCGAAAGCCUGAUCCAGCAAUGCCGCGUGAGUGAUGAAGGCCUUAGGGUUGUAAAGCUCUUUUACCCGGGAUGAUAAUGACAGUACCGGGAGAAUAAGCUCCGGCUAACUCCGUG